UCAGGACGAACGCUGGCGGCGCGCCUAAUACAUGCAAGUCGAACGGUCUUUCUAUGGAAGCUUGCUUCCACUGAGAAGAUAGUGGCGAACGGGUGAGUAACACGUGGGUAACCUGCCCAUAAGAGGGGGGAUAACAUCCGGAAACGGGUGCUAAUACCGCAUAGUUUUCUUGAUCGCAUGAUCGGGAAAGGAAAGACGGCCUUUGUGCUGUCGCUUAUGGAUGGACCCGCGGCGUAUUAGUUAGUUGGUGAGGUAACGGCUCACCAAGACGAUGAUACGUAGCCGACCUGAGAGGGUGAUCGGCCACAUUGGGACUGAGACACGGCCCAAACUCCUACGGGAGGCAGCAGUAGGGAAUCUUCCGCAAUGGACGAAAGUCUGACGGAGCAACGCCGCGUGAGUGAAGAAGGUUUUCGGAUCGUAAAACUCUGUUGUCAGAGAAGAACAAGUCGGAGAGUAACUGCUCCGGCCUUGACGGUAUCUGACCAGAAAGCCACGGCUAACUACGUGCCAGCCGCGGC
Molecule: ribosomal RNA, 521 nt
Filed under: uncultured bacterium
Lineage: Bacteria
Description: bacterial SSU rRNA
Rfam family: Bacterial small subunit ribosomal RNA
Source: RNAcentral